UUCUAAUUGUCUUCAGCUUGGCGCA
This 25-nucleotide non-coding RNA is filed under the name Rattus norvegicus (Norway rat). The record is from RNAcentral. Lineage: Eukaryota; Metazoa; Chordata; Mammalia; Rodentia; Muridae.